UAAGUGUAGUCUGUUAAAACAACUGAUU
This 28-nucleotide non-coding RNA is filed under the name Rattus norvegicus (Norway rat). Lineage: Eukaryota; Metazoa; Chordata; Mammalia; Rodentia; Muridae. The record is from RNAcentral.